GACGAACGCUGGCGGCGUGCCUAAUACAUGCAAGUAGAACGCUGAAGGAGGAGCUUGCUUCUCUGGAUGAGUUGCGAACGGGUGAGUAACGCGUAGGUAACCUGCCUGGUAGCGGGGGAUAACUAUUGGAAACGAUAGCUAAUACCGCAUAAUAGUAGAUGUUGCAUGACAUUUGCUUAAAAGGUGCAAUUGCAUCACUACCAGAUGGACCUGCGUUGUAUUAGCUAGUUGGUGGGGUAACGGCUCACCAAGGCGACGAUACAUAGCCGACCUGAGAGGGGGAUCGGCCACACUGGGACUGAGACACAGCCCAGACUCCUACGGGAGGCAGCAGUAGGGAAUCUUCGGCAAUGGACGGAAGUCUGACCGAGCAACGCCGCGUGAGUGAAGAAGGUUUUCGGAUCGUAAAGCUCUGUUGUAAGAGAAGAACGAGUGUGAGAGUGGAAAGUUCACACUGUGACGGUAUCUGACCAGAAAGGGACGGCUAACUACGUG
This 495-nucleotide ribosomal RNA is filed under the name uncultured bacterium. RNAcentral's name for it is "partial 16S ribosomal RNA". It matches the Rfam family "Bacterial small subunit ribosomal RNA", at positions 28 to 507 of the family's 1533-position model. The record is from RNAcentral.